RNAcentral lists this long non-coding RNA (393 nucleotides) under Zonotrichia albicollis (white-throated sparrow). RNAcentral's name for it is "lncRNA (ENSZALG00000018083.1)". The record is from RNAcentral. Lineage: Eukaryota; Metazoa; Chordata; Aves; Passeriformes; Passerellidae.
CAAGAGACAGGAUCCCCCACACUGCAGACUACACGUGGGUAAAUGGAGAAAUGUCUGCAUGACAAGUGACUCAGAAGACACCAUCAAAAGGAAAGCUCUAGGACAUCAGUCUGCACCCAGCCCUGGAUGAAUUCCAGUGUCCAACCAGAGGAGCAGAGCAGGACAGCCCAAAGCUGGCAGGAGCAGGUGUUUUUCUAAGUGUCCCAUGGCACAAGAGACACCUUCAGCUGGAAACAUCACGAGGUUCAAAAGGAGCACCACAUGCUAAAGUACUCCAACAUGAUGGACAAAGAUAAGUUUUAGAUCAUAUUCAUGUGGGAGCAUCUGCAGAUGUGUAAGGGUUGGGGUUUGGAUACAAAAAUGAACUAUCUGAGCUGCUGACGUAGAAAGAUA